Molecule: ribosomal RNA, 369 nt
Filed under: Triticum aestivum (bread wheat)
Lineage: Eukaryota; Viridiplantae; Streptophyta; Magnoliopsida; Poales; Poaceae
Description: partial small subunit ribosomal RNA
Source: RNAcentral
AUGGAGCCACUACAGAAUGGAGAAGCCGCAUACCAUGAUCCUGAUGAAGAAGCUAUAAUAUUUAUAGAUCAGGAUGUUGCUCUCGAGUCGUACCAGCUUGGACGCCAGAAUGCACAAGCAGGACCUGUAGCAGUGAUUGAUGAAUUCAUAUACCGAAACCUACCUACAAAGCACCAUGUCCUAAAAAAGGUUGCAGACUGCCUUCACUGUGGGGCUUUGCGGUUUCCAUUCGAGGGGCCAGCAUUUUGUUGCAGAAAAGGAAAAGUAUCGGUCAUCAUUUCUUAUUCUUCAAUUCUUAUUGUGUCAAUCAUUAUGAGUCCAGCCAGCACACUGAUAUUUAUGUUGUCAAUCUGUAGAGGACAACGAUGA